GCUGGUGUGCGGCCUUGCACCGCCUCAACCAACCCUGACCCGCUUCGGGCUCCGUGAGCCCAGCGCUGCGGGAUCUGGGAGGCCGAGGCGCCCCCAGGGGAGGGCGUUGGGGCUGGGGGCGGUGGAGGAGGGAGGGCGCUCAUCCCACCCCCACACCUCCUCCCGGGCCCAAGUCCUAGCAUCUAUCAAAGCUCAGGGUCUGAUUAGCUGUUUGAUUCGAUAUGCUUCCGUUUCAUUUGGGGUUUGUUUUCAAAAUAGUUUGUCUUGGGGAGCGGGGCUUUAGAAAGGAAAAGGCCCAGGACCAAUUCAGCAGAAGAGCGGCCUUUUGCUGCCGCCCUGGCCCUGCCCCGGCAGAGCGUUCGUGUCAAAGGAGACAAGAUGGAAGCUGGAGUCUUAGGGACCCAGAUUCUUGGAGUCCAGAAGAUGCUCUCUGUCCAGAUGGCGAUUCUCCUGAGCCCCAGCUCCCGGAGACAGAGGCUGGCCUGUUUGUUCACCUCCGCACACUCGGCCCCCAGCACUGUGCCCGUUGGCACGGGUAGGAUGAAGGAACCAUCUCUGCCAAGGCCACGACUAGCGCUCUUGGAUCUCCAGGCAGGGCUCCUUCCUCUGCCCCGACUCCCCGUUCCUCACCCCUUCCCAGCCUGCGCACCCUUAUGGCGCAUUUUCUGCCAGUCCCUUGUGCCCAGCACUCUCUUUCCAAACUGCGCUGGGGGCCCAUCCUGGCUCUCCUGAGCGCCCUGCUGCUGGGGCCCGUGUAUCUUAUGGCUCGUAAUGCCUUCGAGCAUGGAGUCAGCCCAUUCAUUGAAGGAGGGACGGCAGGUCUCUUCUGCAAAACCAGGAAAUGGUGGGCAGUCGUGUGUGAUUCUAACCAGACUCUGUAGUGGCGUUUCCACAACAGCAAAAUCUAGACUUACCCCAACAAAAUAACAACCCCAAGGUUUUAUUUCCUUUUCCAUGUAAACAAUUUUGCUCAUACGCCUCUAUUUAUUAUUCUGGUUUUUAAAAG
Molecule: long non-coding RNA, 1006 nt
Filed under: Equus caballus (horse)
Lineage: Eukaryota; Metazoa; Chordata; Mammalia; Perissodactyla; Equidae
Description: lncRNA (ENSECAG00000045928.1)
Source: RNAcentral